Long non-coding RNA from Xenia sp. Carnegie-2017, 410 nucleotides. RefSeq lists it as uncharacterized. The record is from RefSeq and is a predicted model, not a curated record. NCBI's taxonomy places the organism in Eukaryota, Metazoa, Cnidaria, Anthozoa, Malacalcyonacea, Xeniidae. The transcript is spliced from 3 exons.
GCAGUGUUAUCAACGCAUAGCAGAAUACGCCAAUACAUCGCCGUAAAAUUGAUUUCAAGUGUAGCUCGAUUUGAAAGCAUCAGCAGCGACGAAGGCUUAAGAUACUGGAAUUUGCACAUCUAAAUAUCGUAUCACAGCACAAUCUGCCACAAAUUGUUCAAUCGAACGUCGUAGAAUUAUCUUCCGAUAUUUAUUGUUAAGUAAAACGAGUUGGAGAUAACAGUUUGAAAGAUUUUUCACGAUUUAUAUAAAGUAUAUUGUUCACUGUACAUAAUUAAAUAUUGCACUGGAUUAUUGUACCAGAAAUGCAUUUUUCUGGUGUUUCUGGUCGGCAAACGAAUAUAGCUAUGUCAAGAUGUGAGUAAUUAAUACGUUCAGAAAUUAUUUACAGAAAGAAUGUGAAGAGUCUA